UAUCUACGUCAUAAAAGCUGACCUCGACAAUCUUGUUCGGUGUACGCAAGAGGAGUAUGGUUUUCAAGAGCGAUGUGCAUCGGAAAGUGAGACUAUCCCAUCAAGUGUAGCCAGGUAUUCUAGAGCUAUCCACGGGGCUGCCACAAAAGCACAGGGGCCUCCACACGACGGCCAUUCACUGUGUGGACACUGUACUGCACACGUACACACCCGACACCAUGUAUUACGAGGCACGACUCACACUAUCAAGAGGAAAUCGGCGAUUUCAGAUUUUCUGGAGAGAAAAACACUGCCACUUGCCGGACACCCGCGUCACCAUUCGUCGGAAGAUCCUAUGUCAUCUUUCUUCGCGGCGGACGCGUGCACAUCGCGGCAAGUCAGAGCCUCUACUCGCGCGAGUGGUAUCGGGAAAAGCUCGAGUCCAGAAAAUUCUCGAUUCGGUUGCGAAGCUCGCCGUCUCACGGUCACCGGCUUUUCUGAAAUGAUUUUCGGGGAAAUCAAAUGAUCUGGUAACGAAAAUCUCUUUUGGAAAUUGACAAGAGCGAAGGUUGGUACCCCAUGAUCGAGCUGGAGGUGGUUAGGGGAUGUCUGGUGCUCUCGAGAGGGCAAGGAACUCUACUGCUUCGACAAAUAAACGGUUCGAUAAACAAAAUGAUUUUUACAAUUAAAAAACGUCGGAACGUAAUCGGGAAGGACGAUGAUGAAAGGAUAUUAACGAAGAAUAUACACUUAUCCGUUUUUGAAGAAUUACCUGAAUGGGUAUUCGAUGUUAGCGAACAACUUUGAAACACUACAAACUAAAAAAUGAGAGAUGCAAUAAAAAUAACGUAACUGAUAAAAACUUGACUCGUUUUUCGAACAUACGGCUGCGCGACAAGCGAGCUUCGUCGGUGACAGCGACAGACUGCGUGCCGUGAGACGCCGGUUGAACGAGCGAACGAACCGAUGGACGACGGAACGUGGACAGAAGGAACGGAGGAACGAGCGGAACGACGGAACGAAGCUUGCACCUUCGGUCUCGAAAACGAUCAACCGCGAGCUGCAUUCGAGUUCCAGACGCGACAGGGUUCGCAUCAUCUACCUCCCUAUGUUUUCAGGAAACUCGAACAAUGUAGAAGAAGAAUUUUCUAGCUCUUAGACCAAUGUUUUCUAAAGAAAAAUCCUAGAAUGUAGACUAUACCUCUCAAAUACGAGCGCUCGCAGGCUAGCUAUCCACCGGAGAGAUGCCGUCAGACCCUGAUGGGGAUACAGACGGAACCAGAUGCAUUCAACCGGUAUUGCUGCACAACUCGUGUGCACGUAUUUGGCCGUACACGAUGUCGGUACGCCCUGCAACACGAAUUUUCUAACAAGUCGACCGUACCACUUACAACGGAGCAGGCCAAUAUGUUGCACAUCAAAGAAGCUGAACAACGACGCUUAAUUCGUAAGCAGGAGAAUGAACAACGUGUUGGAAGAGCAACGUGUAGCAACUGAAAAUGGUCAAGAGGAAUGUUUAUAGCUGUGGGCCGACACGCGAUGAAUUCAGCAUGAGGGGCACAUAAAAACGCGGGGGCGUUCACGCAUCAACGGUAACGACGUGUGACGAGAGCGUUUCACUCUUUCCCUGCGAUUUGCAGUUCUAAAAAUUUCUCAUACUACUUUCUAAAUUAGAGAUUCCUACAUUAGGUAAACUCUGCAAAUAGCGAAACCUUGUACAUAACCGUUUCCCUGAGUAUAGUGGUACAGCAACGUCCGUCAGCACAGGGGUCUCGAGCAUGCACCUUGGCGCGACUAGACGAGCCAGAGACAACGAGAAGCGGCCUUCGACAACCUCAACCUAGCUACAGACGUGUGGCUGUUCGUGUGUGCACGUGCUCUCCACGUACGCGUUUCAGCGCGGAAAAAAGCGAUGCAGAACACCGUCUCGAGGCACCAGUCGAGUCAUAAAUUGUAAAUCGUGCUUCCUAUUUUAAAACGGAGAUCACGUAAAAUCCUCGGCAACUUCAUAGUCACGAUCAUGAAUCGAAUUUCCAUCUCAUUUUCUAUGCGGCGUCUCGGUUGCUUCGGAUAUGGAUUUUAAUUGUUGACUUCUGUGAUGUUGGUUCAUGAAUGAUACGAUUAUGAGUAUUCAUUGACUGGGAAAAGUGGUAAACAAUGACGAAGAACGGAAACGUGGUAUGCACCUGUCCAGCACACAGGAAGCAGGGUUGAAAAAUGCGAUUCUUUUGCAAAGUUGAACGAUUCGCGAGAGAAAAGGACACGCACACCUGCGUAAACUACGAUGCAGGUGUACUCGUGUGCACUUCACACGCACACCGUUGUACUCCUUUGUGAGCCUCCACUGAGGUAGAAUAAUUCACUUUUUCUCGGCUAGACAGAGCAGAGACGGUAGAUGUCUAUACUGGAAUCAAGCUCGAUAGAACUCAUUCCAGGAAUAACUAAGAGCGAUGUUUAACCGUAACGACGAAAUUAAAAGCUUCGGAUUGUUGAAUAGGGAAAAGGAUCCUCUGCCAGUGAAGUGUUACUUUGAGAACGUAUGAGCUUUGGAAUAACAAUGCAAACGGGUUUCGCCCGAUAAUGCAAUGCCGAAAAGAAGGUCAAUGGAAAAGUUGCAACGACAAAAGCAGUGGUGCAACGUACCGGCGUCGACCAUCGAGAGGGGAAAUGUAUAAAGAGUGGGUCGGACUAAAAGGCCAUAUCGGAAAAAUUCUCAUUUAGCCCCUGGCCAAUGAAAGACCAGGUGGAUCCUCGUGAAAAACAGGGCCACGCCUGUCAACUUCGGGAGACCUUAGAAAACAGGCCAAUGGAGAAGGGCUCGAAUACAUCUGCAUCCGGGAAUUAAGACGUAUCGAGCCACUGCACAAAACUGAAAGUACAGUACAUUAGCUUAUAAAAUAUUUCGAACGCUUAUAAUAUUUAAAACAGAUGCUUCUCGAAAUUAAAUUUCAAACUUCAAGCACUGUAGGCUGUGAAAUUUUUGAAGCUAAUGUUUCAAGCUCGAAAUGUCUCAAACUUGAUACGAUCCAAGUUUGGAACAUUUCAAAAACUUCCACGCAGCUUUGAGAAGCUGGCGACCAUGGAAGACAGAAAAAAGAAUAAUACCUUGACGUACAACUAUCGGUAGAAAUCUUCAAAGGCCUCCGCCCAAAGGAAAAUCCAGAGAACAAGGAUUGGCGAUGACAGGAAGGUAGCAAAAUGUUCGAGACAAACGGGUAAUCGGAAAGAAGCAGCCAGUUAAAGGAGAAGAAAUGUGCCGUCUAUAAAAAUGGUCGAGAUAAAGAGAACGGUGAAGACAAAGAGAAACUGAAAAGGAACAGACGGGAGGGAGAGGAAGAAAAGGGAGAGAGAAAACCUUGGCCCACAGGCCUACUGCAGCGCUGCAGCUUGCUUGCACUCUGGCUCUGCCACUCUACCAUUCAUGUGGGAAACACCCUAGUAUCCACCGUGGGGUUGGGCCAACAACCGCUGGAAAAAUUUCUCUUUCGAUGCACUGCAACGGCCCCGCCCCGAACAUCGCCAAAGGGGAAGAAAAGUUUCAGUGGAACGAUGCUGGAUGGCCAGACAUAGACAACUGCAAUGUCUACCGAAACCUGCCUCUUGAAGAUGGUUCCGUGGAAAACGCCCGAAAAUUCCCAUUCCGGAAUAUUCGAAACCUAAUGAAAACGUAGCAACAAUGGAAUAGGGGGUGUUCAUAUACUUUCGUGUGUCAAGUAUUUAAAUACUUACAAUAAAUCAAUGUUAACAUCGAAUAAUUCUAAGCAAUCGAUAAGUCCUCUUUGAUUGAUCCUCGAUUGAAAAAAUGUAAUGGCGUAUAACGAACAUUUUGGCGGGCUGUAAAAAAUUGCCGCCAGAGGGCCAGCGCGGGUGUAAGAUAAAUACUUGUGAAUCACGUUUACUAAAUUAUUUUGAGAAUAUAUACUGCUUUCUUUAUUUUAUUUUUAUACUGCUUUUUAUUAUUUUAUUUCGUUAGAAGAAAAUGGUAUUACCUUCUCGAGAUAGGUACAACAGAUAAUACCCAUGAUGCAUGCAGUGCGAAUGGUUACGUACGCAUUUAUUGACACUGAGAUUCGCCACAUGACUUUGAUCUGCGAUUCGUGAUCUUGCACGCCUAACCUAGGCCACUCGAUCUUCUCUUUUUUCUGUAACCUCGCAUGACCGAAUAGGCUGAUAAUAUUCUGCACAUUUAAAUUUCUUCGACGCUAUUCCUUGCACGCGAAUAAAUACGAGAAACGGAGAUGACGGGAAGAAGAUCGAUAAAUGUAUCGAUUUUUAGUAACACCAGCGACAUCUCGAUUAUUUUGGAGGGAAUGAUACAUUUGAUUUUCGAUAAAAUUGUAAGGGAGGAAAAGUACUCGAAUGGUUAGAAUAUGUAUGAUCAAAACCGGAUAUGAAGAUAAAUAUUCAAGUAUCUGAAUUCAAGUUUUCUUUUGUGAUUACUCAGAUACGAAACUUUUCUUGUAGUAUUUUUUUUUAAUUCCACUCGAGCUUACUCUUAUCUACUAGUGAUAAAAAUUUGCUGUAGAACAGUAAAAUGGCAACAACGAUUGUAAUUCUGACCUAUAGUCAAGCAGUUAGCAAACAGCUGGUAUUUUUUAGCACUAUUACUGAAUAUACGUUCGAGUCUUCAAUCGCAAAAAGUCACGAUUAUCGAUAUUUUGCAAAAGUCAAAAUCGAUCGUAUCUUCUAAUCGACGUACGGUUAGUUUCGGUUACUGAAUCGAGAUAAAGUUCUAGAAGUUCGAACUGUCAAAAUCGCUGGCUAUCGAUACUCGAAUUACUUUACUUCCAUAUCUCGAAAUACGUUACUAACUACGUUCUAACUGAUAAAGAUAUUAAUAUAAAUAAAUUCAUAUUGUUAAUACAGUUUAAAUAUUAUUUAACGUCACAUGGUGUUAAUUUUUCAUCAGUCACUUUCAGAAUUAAUUCACGAGUUAUAUACUGAACUUGAUCUUGUUCUUGGUCGUCAUUCAUCAAGAACAUGUGCCAGAGAAUUGUGUAGCGCAAGAAACAGCGAAAGUGUGAAUUCUAAUAUUUACCUCCUAAUGAAUCCGUUCGAAACAGGAACAUCGCCGCAUCCUAGGGAUUUCUGCUGAACGUAGAAAUUCAUGAAGAAGAAAAACAGCGGGAGUAAAGAACGUGGUAAUGUAUGUAAGUAUAUAUCCUAUAUUUAUCGGACACCGUUCGUUUGUACGUCAGGUCGCCGCUCCCUGAGAGAUCACUGCCCUCACGCACACCCGGUGUCUUUUCUCGUUCCUUUGGCCGAUCGACGUCGGGUGUCCCUCUGCUCCGACGACGGGGGCCAGGGAUGUAUCGCGAAAUUGACGGACCCGUCGCGAAUAACCCGCCGCGCGAAACAUCUCAAUUCCAAAUCGUUUAAUGAAUACACUUCGUAGCAAUUGCACAAUUUCCGUUUUAUCGCAAACAUCUCUCUAAAAACGAGAGAAGGUACACACGAAAUCGGAACGAGAAAAAAUUUAUCGAGGUAGUGAUGGGAUUGAUUAAAAAAUAUCUUAAUCAAUGAAGAUAGACUGGAUUAAUUUUUUACGAAUUACUUAACUGGAAUAUAGAAUAAAUGGAAAAAUACUGCCACUAUUGUAAUUAUCUUUGAACCAUGGAACUGGAAUAUAUUUUUCGAAAUGUGAUUACGAAGAGAACAGUCGAUAAGAACAUGUCUAAUUGUAGUUGACAAGGAAAUAUAUUUUUUUUAAAUGUUAAGUAUCGUUCGUCGAGAUAUCGUUCCCAUCACUACUCUAUUAACUUCCCUUCCUCGAAUCUGAAUUUCGAGACUAUCGAGCUGUCUCGAUGAUCCGGCGACGAAUAACCACCAAAUGUAACGAUCACUCGCGAACUUCCUUCGUGAACGGUUGAAAAUAAUUUCGAAAAAUCAACCACGAUCUCGAACGAUACACGAGGAACUUUUUAUCGUAAACGGUUGGAUUUAUGUUUUGACGUAGUGCACUAAUCCGUUCGCGAGUUAAAUUUGCCCGGUAAUUGUAUUUGUUGCACGCGCACUGUGUCUCACAUGGGUGCUUGUUCUGCGUGUCCUCGCGAAUUCGCGGCACACGGACUGCUACUUCCCGAUUGCAAAAACCCCUUCUUUCCGCGCACAGAAAGACUGAGGGAUCUAGAAACCCUACCCCCCAGGGCACGCGUACGUGUAUGCGAGUUUGCACGUCUAGCGCACACCACGAUAAACGCGACACGUAUGUACAAAGGGGAAACGACGUGCAGGAGCCGGCAACCAGACAACCAUUCCCAUUCUCUUGAUAGAACGCGUGGCAACUAGUCGAAUGAGCGCAAAGUCGCCAUCUGUAUCGCGAUUCUGGCAUUAUGAUUUUCGCAAAUUGACCGGCAAAUGCAAUCACGUCCCUGAUCAAACGAAAUGCGCAUGCGCACGCGUGCGUUGGAAAUUCAAACAUUCUUGAUCUGCCGCGAAUUUUAAACAGGUACGUGGUUUAUUAAUACACACUAUCUUCUGCCAUUCAUCCUAAUAGUGUAAAUGUUGGAACCUUGAUAUAAUUUCUAAUUAAAUCUGAAAUGUUCUAAAAUGGAUAGUAUCUUUGGUCUUAAUAGGUAUGUAUGAUUGUCUUACUAACCUAAAGGUUAUUUUCACUAUACAUUGAAAUAAGAGUGGUAUACCAGAAUAAUAUUAUUUUACCUAUAUUAUGUUAAUUUAGAUUAGAUCUACUUAUAUUCGAUAAAGGUUAGAUCAUUAACCAUCGGAGAAGACAGGCUUAACUAUUAAUACUUUUAUACAACAGAAACGCGUAUUGAACAUGACACGUAGUAAUAUAACAUAAAGUAUUAAGAUAGGUCAAUCAGGCUCAGUGCAAAUAAACAUCAUUCACCGGAAUGGAGUAAGUUGCAUAUUAUAAGUAAUGAAAUUAUUUAUGCAAUGUAUCUACUGUUUCAAAAUACCGGAACUAACCCGCGCUUUUUUCAGGACUGACAAAUCACAUGUGUCAAAUAUUCUGAUUGGUUAACGUUACAUCACAAUAUGGCUUCCUGUAACGUUCUUUUACGAUUGAACGAUCAUCGGCUUAGUUGAAAUCAGUAAGAAACUUUGCAUCGACACAUAAUCUAUUGAUACGAAUAAGCUUUGUUGUUUUUGAAGAAUUUAUUUAAUCAAGCAUGUUAUUUAAGACCGAUUCGUAUUUCCAUAAAAGACAACGCUGCAAAUCCAUAAUUCCCACCGAUAUUAUGUCCCAUUUUAGUUGGACAGUACAUAUUUUAUUCGAUGAUAAAAACCUAGGAUCAUUGGUUGAUGGUCUUCCAGGUAACUGUCUGAUACAAUCGAUUUAUUAACAUUGAUAUCUUUGUUUUUCAGCAGAGGAAAACGGAGAUCGUACGACGCUUGAUAUAAGAAAGAAAAAUAUUUCAGCUGUUCGGAUUUUUCCCUUAAUCUUUGUUAUUUUUAUUGGUAUUUCGCUUUUGAAAAGGAUACGGAUAACGAGAAUCUUCGGAAACUUUUGUAUACUGAAGCUUUUGGUACACUU
RNAcentral lists this long non-coding RNA (7477 nucleotides) under Megachile rotundata (alfalfa leafcutting bee). Its description in RNAcentral is "uncharacterized LOC105661875, transcript variant X2". The record is from RNAcentral. Lineage: Eukaryota; Metazoa; Arthropoda; Insecta; Hymenoptera; Megachilidae.